Molecule: ribosomal RNA, 480 nt
Filed under: uncultured bacterium
Lineage: Bacteria
Description: bacterial SSU rRNA
Rfam family: Bacterial small subunit ribosomal RNA
Source: RNAcentral
GAUCCUGGCUCAGAGUGAACGCUGGCGGCGUGCUUAACACAUGCAAGUCGAACGGUAACAGGAAGUAGCUUGCUACUUUGCUGACGAGUGGCGCACGGGUGAGUAAUAUAUAGUUAAUGUACCUCAAAGACUGGGAUAGCCACUGGAAACGGUGAUUAAUACUAGAUAUACCUUUAUAACAAAAGUUGUAAAGGGAAACGUUUUUUCGCUUUGAGAUCAGACUAUAUCCCAUCAGUUAGUUGGUAGUGUAAGAGACUACCAAGGCAAUGACGGGUAGCGGGUUUGAGAGGAUGAUCCGCCACACUGGUACUGAGACACGGACCAGACUCCUACGGGAGGCAGCAGUGAGGAAUAUUGCACAAUGGAGGAAACUCUGAUGCAGCAACGCCGCGUGGAGGAUGACGCAUUUCGGUGUGUAAACUCCUUUUAUGAGUCAAGAAAAUGACGGUAGCUCAUGAAUAAGCACCGGCUAACUCCGUG